GCCAACCCUAUAUGAGAGUGUAGCAGUCGCAUCUCCACACACACACUCCAUUCUUCACAGUCCUGUGUGCAUUAGCAAGAACAAACGUAUCCAAGAAUAUGGACUUUGUGAAGGGAGCUGUCGACGGACAGGUUGACCAGGUCAUUGAUAAAGCAGCUCAAGUUGCAAAGGAGAAAGUUGGUGAUCUGAUGGGUGGAGGAGCGAAAGAGGAGAAAAAAAAAGGUGUCGGAGACAUGGUGGGGGAUGUGGCUGGGAAGCUCGCUGGUGGUGCCGCCGCAGACAGUGCUGCUGGCCAGGCUCUAAAUAUUGGCAAAAAAACUAUUUGGAUGAUUUUUUUCUGCAAUGCUAUUGUUUGUGUAAUAUUGUUUGAUAUGCAAAUAUUGCUUUUUGAUAGAUCUGAUACAAAUUUCCAAAUUCUUUUGUCAUAAAGUCAGCAGCCAUUGCUAGUAGUUGCAAUAGUUUUAGUAUAAGUAAUAAAGAGUUUGUCAAAAUGUCUGUACUAGUAAGUUUCUCCAGAGCUUUGUGUUUACAUGACCAGAGCAGCACUGAUGACUACAAGUUGUUUAGAUGCUAUUUAAGAUUUUGAAAUAAAGCAUGCUGUUCAAUUACA
Long non-coding RNA from Alosa alosa (allis shad), 610 nucleotides. RefSeq lists it as uncharacterized. The record is from RefSeq and is a predicted model, not a curated record. Lineage: Eukaryota; Metazoa; Chordata; Actinopteri; Clupeiformes; Clupeidae. The transcript has 3 exons.